Molecule: ribosomal RNA, 494 nt
Filed under: uncultured bacterium
Lineage: Bacteria
Description: bacterial SSU rRNA
Rfam family: Bacterial small subunit ribosomal RNA
Source: RNAcentral
GAUGAACGCUAGCGGCAGGCUUAAUACAUGCAAGUCGUGGGGCAGCAGGAGUAGCAAUACUUGCUGGCGACCGGCAAACGGGUGCGUAACACGUACGCAACCUUCCUACAGGCGGGGAAUAGCCCAGAGAAAUUUGGAUUAAUACCCCAUAAGAUUUUGGAGUGGCAUCACUCUAUUAUUAAAGCUUCGGCACCUGAAGAUGGGCGUGCGGCUGAUUAGGUAGUUGGCGGGGUAACGGCCCACCAAGCCUUCGAUCAGUAGCUGAUGUGAGAGCAUGAUCAGCCACACGGGCACUGAGACACGGGCCCGACUCCUACGGGAGGCAGCAGUAAGGAAUAUUGGUCAAUGGACGAAAGUCUGAACCAGCCAUGCCGCGUGGAGGAUGAAGGUCCUCUGGAUUGUAAACUUCUUUUAUUUGGGAACGUAAAAAGGGACGAAUCUUGCUCACUUGUACGGUACCAAGAUAGAAUAAAGAACCGGCUAACUACCGUGCC